CCUACGGGAGGCAGCAGUGGGGGAUAUUGCACAAUGGGGGAAACCCUGAUGCAGCGACGCCGCGUGAGUGAAGAAGUAUCUCGGUAUGUAAAGCUCUAUCAGCAGGGAAGUAAAUGACAGUACCUGACCAAGAAGCCCCGGCUAACUACGUGCCAGCAGCCGCGGUAAUACGUAGGGGGCAGGCGUUAUCCGGAUUUACUGGGUGUAAUGGGAGCGUAGACGGUUAUGUAAGUACGGAGUGAAAGUCCGGGGCCCAACCCCGGGACUGCUUUGGAAACUGUGGAACUGGAGUACAGGAGGGGCAGGCGGAAUUCGUGGUGUAGCGGUGAAAUGCUUAGAUAUCACGAGGAACCCCGGCUGCGAAGGCGGCCUGCUGGACUGAAACUGACGUUGAGGCUCGAAAGCGUGGGGAGCAAACAGGAUUAGAUACCCGGGUAGUC
This 440-nucleotide ribosomal RNA is filed under the name uncultured bacterium. Its description in RNAcentral is "partial 16S ribosomal RNA". It matches the Rfam family "Bacterial small subunit ribosomal RNA", at positions 338 to 795 of the family's 1533-position model. The record is from RNAcentral.